GGAUCACUGCUAUGAACCAGACGGCCCCCUCGCCCAGACCAGCACAGCGGCACUGCUUGGAUUAACUCUAGGGCAUGACUGCACUUCUCAUCCUGGUGUGAAACAGACAGUGCCAGCUCUUGCAUCAAACAGCAGAUUUGGUAGCAAAUAGUCAUGACUUGCAACUGGGGAUCAGAGAAGGCGGUGGACAUUGGGUUGAAAUCUUCUAUCACAAUUGCUUCGUGUGGCAUCUCAUCAACAAGGUGCUUCAACCCAGAGUGGACUUGAAACACAGGCUAAAGAAUGUUUUCCCUGAGACAGAUGCAUGAGCAGAGUAAUUCUUCCCAUUUACAGACCAUUCUGUGGCUGCUAAUAAAAGGCCUGGCUCUGCAAAAGU
Long non-coding RNA from Hyaena hyaena (striped hyena), 376 nucleotides. RefSeq lists it as uncharacterized. NCBI's taxonomy places the organism in Eukaryota, Metazoa, Chordata, Mammalia, Carnivora, Hyaenidae. The record is from RefSeq and is a predicted model, not a curated record. The transcript is spliced from 3 exons.